RNAcentral lists this ribosomal RNA (495 nucleotides) under uncultured bacterium. RNAcentral describes it as "partial 16S ribosomal RNA". It matches the Rfam family "Bacterial small subunit ribosomal RNA", at positions 28 to 507 of the family's 1533-position model. The record is from RNAcentral.
GAUGAACGCUGGCGGCGUGCCUAAUACAUGCAAGUAGAACGCUGCAGUCGGAUCUUGCUCUUCAGGAUGAGUUGCGAACGGGUGAGUAACGCGUAGGUACCCUGCCUGUUAGCGGGGGAUAACUAUUUGAAACGAUAUCUAAUACCGCAUGACAACAGUCAUUUCAUGAUAACUGUUUAAAAGGUGCAACUGCUCCUCUACCAGAUGGACCUGCGUUGUAUUAGCUAUUUGGUGAGGUAACGGCUCACCAAGGCGACGAUACAUAGACGACCUGAGAGGGUGAGCGGCCACACUGGGACUGAGACACGGCCCAGACUCCUACGGGAGGCAGCAGUAGGGAAUCCUCGGCAAUGGACGGAAGUGUGAACGAGCAACGACGCGUGAGUGAAGAAGGUUUUCGGAUCGUGAAGGUCAGUUGUGAGAGAAGAACGAAAGGGAGAGUGAAAAGUUCACACUGUGACGGUAUCUGAACAGAAAGGGACGGCUAACUACGUG